CAGAUCAAAAAGGGCAUCGUAAACUGAAACGUGUCCAAAGAAGGGUGUAAUAAAUAAAUAAAUAAAUAAACUGAAACAUGUCCAAAGAAGGGUGGCCAAGAUUGUUAAAGUUCUGAGACUCAGACCCUAUGGAGAAUGGUUGAGGGACUCAGCCUGGAAAAGAGGUGCCUCGGGUGUAACACAAGAGCCAUCUUUAAACAUUUAAAUGGCUGUCAUGUGGAAGAUGGAGAGAGCUUCUUUUUCAUGGCUCCAGAGGAUAGGACUUGAACCAACGGAUUCCGAUUACAAGAAGGGAGAUUGUGUCUAAACAUCAGAAAGAACUUCCUGGAGGUGACAGGUGUUCAACCAUGGAAUGAAUUACCUGAACAGGUAGGCGAUGGACUUUUCUUUAUGGGAAAGUUCUAAACAGAGCUUGGAUGGCUGUCUGUCAUGGAUGUUCUAAACAGAGCUUGGAUGGCUGUCUGCCAUGGAUACCAUUUGAGGUGUGGUUUUCUGGCUUUGGCAGGAAAUAGGACUUCAUGAGCCCCUGGCCCUUUCCAGAGCCACCGUUCUAGGGCUGUGUGAAGUCAAUCUACCCAUUCAUUAAUGGUCUCUUUCUCUUUAUGACAUCACUAUCUCCUGCCCAAGUAUUCACAGGAUGAUGGCAGAGCCAAGCUCCAGAGCUAAAAGGGAAGGAAAUGGCUGCCGCAGGAGAACAAGUUUCCCUACUAAGUGAAUAUGGAAGAAUCAUGCUCUAUGACAGAUACGUUCCAGACAUUGAGAGUUACCACUCGAUACAAAAGCCCAGAGCCAGCCUAAGCAUUCCCUUGGACUUUCCCAAACCAUUACGACCUGGUACCAAAAAGAGAUCAAGACCAUCCAUUUUAAAGCAGCCUGACCAAUCAAAACUUGAGUACAGAGAAGUAAUGUUUCCAAGCCCUCCAAUGGUUCACGUAGCCGACAGGGUUAGCAAGAUGGCAUAUAGGGUGUCUACUUUAGAGGCGUCUGAGGAACCGGACCAAGAUGAGGCCAAAAGGAAAAAAAAAUUCUGGGAAAAGUCGCCAUGUUGGGAAAAGAUAAAGUCGAAAUGCCCGUGUCUGAGGAAAAAGAAGCCUCCGGACUCAGAUGAAUCCAUUUCCUAUGUCUUUCCUCCGGAACCUACGGAUACCGUCUCCUUUGAGGGCAACUGUGGGACACGUCACCUCACGACAUUUCCUCCCUCACAGCUCCCGACCUCUCCAGAAACGAAACCUCAGAAACGGAUCCGACAGGAAGAAAAUGCCGGUGUGAGCCCUCCGCCAGACACCCCAGUGCCGAAGUCAGUGUAUUCCAUCUUUGAUGCCCCACCGCCACCAGCCUCAGCUGACGGCCAGGAUCCAGAACAAACGAAAUUGCCCAAAGGGAUUUUGAAAGGCUCAGAAGAAAGAAUGCAAGCUGGCAAAUCUGUUUCCAUCCUUUUACCUUCAGAAACAGAGGAGGGCAAGGUUUCGCCGGGUUUGGUACCUCAGCAGUCGACAACUCACUUCAGAAGCCAAGAAAUUUCACGUCCGGUGGCUCAACCAUCUUCUGAAGCCACGAGGCCUGCCAGCCCUACCAGUGAAAUUUAUGAAGAGGUAGCCUCUUCUCCCGCCACCUCCCAAAAGCCGACGCCUGUCUUGCCCAUGACUGAGGCACCAUCGCAAAACGCUGCUAAAAAAGAUUCCAGGAAAGAGGAACAGGCCAAAAUUUGCCCCUCAGCAGCUCCAGAAACAAAGCCACCCAAGCCGCCCCCAGCUUCUUCUGCAUGUGUAGAAGUUUCGCCAACAGCUAACACCAACCUCUUUCAAACCCCUGGAGAUAAAAUGUGGUCCUUCUCCCCUGUACCAGCUGACCAGUACCAAGGAGUAGAUGAUGCUACACCCAUCACUUCUCUCAGAUCACAGAGAAAAGCACAUUUCUUUGCCAGAGCUACUGCACCGGCCCGAAAAACAGCCAAGAAAAGUCCCAGAGAAGGUCAAGAUGAAGCUGGGAAAGAUUCUGGGAAAGGAAAAGAAGAUUCCGGAAAAGAAAAAGAAGAUUCCGGAAAAGAAAAAGACGAUUCCGGAAAAGAAAAAGACGAUUCUAGAGAAGAAAAAGAAGAUUCUGGAAAAGAAAGGGAGGAAGCUGGAGAAGGUUCCAGGAAAGAAAAAGGAAAUGGUAGAAAAUAUUCUGGAAAAGAAAGAGAAGAGGCCAAACUUGCAACUUCCGAUGCACCCUCACUUGAGCUUUCAGCUGCUCAGGAAAGACCACCUGCGACUAACAAAGCAGCACCGGAGUUUUCUACUGAGAAGACACCACAGGAAUCAGCCAGAAGCCAAUUCUGCGUUGAGGAGGUUCCUUUACCCACCCUCUCUCCCACAGCCGAACACUACGCACCUCGGUUGGCCAGGCGACCUCAGACCAUCGUGGCAAGUCCUGGUCAAGGGAUAGGCGUGGGCAGAUUCUCUCCCCUUGAAACUAUGGCGGCGCCUUCAAGGAUGGCAUCGUCAGGAAAAAGGGAGGCACCCCUGCCUGGAGCAAAAUGGGUUCACAAAUUGCUUCUCUAAAAAGGAAGGCAGGAAUUAUUUCUUAGUCCCAUCACGGUGCGCCUCUGGGGAUUCCUCGCGCGGCAGCUGGCACGGAGGCACAACUCUUCCAUUUAUUAAAAGCUAACAAAUAAAACAUCCUCACGAAAACA
Molecule: long non-coding RNA, 2674 nt
Filed under: Pogona vitticeps (central bearded dragon)
Lineage: Eukaryota; Metazoa; Chordata; Lepidosauria; Squamata; Agamidae
Description: lncRNA (ENSPVIG00000020794.1)
Source: RNAcentral